Molecule: long non-coding RNA, 656 nt
Organism: Phyllopteryx taeniolatus (common seadragon)
Lineage: Eukaryota; Metazoa; Chordata; Actinopteri; Syngnathiformes; Syngnathidae
Exons: 3
Source: RefSeq, a predicted model, not a curated record
CUAACAUUCGCAAACCUUGCACUUAUCUCAAUAUCCUUUGCGUGCCACACGCAAAUAUUAAAAUAGCUAUUGUGUUUCAAUUGAACAUCCCACGCCAUGUUAGGCUCGACAUCCUGGUUUGAAUAUGUGAAUGUUUGUAAUGCUAAUAUGUAGCCACCUAGCAUUGGGAUGUAAAUGUGGGAAAUGUAAUGCAAUCAGCAAAUCUGCUGAAAGGGCGCAGCUCCUCAAUUGGAACCUUUUUUCCUGAUCAUCUUCCUCCCCGGCCGAUGUGUCCCCUGCCGCAGACAGCCAGGCAGACCUCUUUCAGGGUGUGAUGGCGAGGAGAUGUGCAGGAUGGAGGAGUGAGCGAGAUGUGCACGAGGAGUUGAAGCACGGUUUCCUGUGUGUACUGCACUUCCUGUGUGUUUCGAGCCAGGGCCUGUUUCCUGUGCGUGAUGGGUGCCAGGCCCCCGCAACCCGACACAUAGACAACACACACCAAUCACUGUCCACCAGAUGGAGAAGAGCUUCCAUUGAAGGAAAUGUCCAUCAUGUUGAGUCCAUGUAUCCAGUUCAUACAGCCCAUUCAACAGACGUGAAAGGCCUGCAUGCAGGGCUUCUUUGAAAUUAUGUACUGAAAAGACCAGGCUGGAGUCCAUUCAGUGCAUCCUCGAAGA